This 376-nucleotide ribosomal RNA is filed under the name uncultured organism. RNAcentral describes it as "partial 16S ribosomal RNA". It matches the Rfam family "Bacterial small subunit ribosomal RNA", at positions 527 to 897 of the family's 1533-position model. The record is from RNAcentral.
GGAGGGUGCAAGCGUUAUUCGGAAUCACUGGGCGUAAAGAGCGCGUAGGCGGUUUCUAAAGUCAGAUGUGAAAGCCCGGGGCUCAACCCCGGAAGUGCAUUUGAAACUUAGGGACUUGAGUAUGGGAGAGGGAAGUGGAAUUCCUGGUGUAGCGGUGAAAUGCGUAGAUAUCAGGAGGAACACCGGUGGCGAAGGCGACUUCCUGGACCAAUACUGACGCUGAGGCGCGAAGGCGUGGGGAGCAAACAGGAUUAGAUACCCUGGUAGUCCACGCAGUAAACGUUGAACACUAGGUGUAGCGGGUAUUGACCCCCCUGCUGUGCCCGCAGCUAACGCAUUAAGUGUUCCGCCUGGGGAGUACGGCCCGCAAGGCUAA